RNAcentral lists this ribosomal RNA (448 nucleotides) under uncultured bacterium. RNAcentral describes it as "bacterial SSU rRNA". It matches the Rfam family "Bacterial small subunit ribosomal RNA", at positions 329 to 794 of the family's 1533-position model. The record is from RNAcentral.
UUCCAGACUCCUACGGGAGGCAGCAGUGGGGAAUAUUGCACAAUGGGGGGAACCCUGAUGCAGCGACGCCGCGUGGGUGAAGGAGUACUUCGGUACGUAAAGCCCUAUCAGCAGGAAAGAAAAUGACGGUACCUGACUAAGAAGCCCCGGCUAACUACGUGCCAGCAGCCGCGGUAAUACGUAGGGGGCAAGCGUUAUCCGGAUUUACUGGGUGUAAAGGGAGCGUAGACGGCGAUACAAGUCUGAAGUGAAAGCCCGGGGCUCAACCCCGGGACUGCUAUGGAAACUGUGUUGCUGGAGUGCUGGAGAGGCAAGCGGAAUUCCUAGUGUAGCGGUGAAAUGCGUAGAUAUUAGGAAGAACACCAGUGGCGAAGGCGGUCUGCUGGACAGCAACUGACGGUGAGGCGCGAAAGCGUGGGGAGCAAACAGGAUUAGAUACCCGUGUAGC